This 588-nucleotide ribosomal RNA is filed under the name Undibacterium sp. StRD311. RNAcentral's name for it is "bacterial SSU rRNA". It matches the Rfam family "Bacterial small subunit ribosomal RNA", at positions 102 to 686 of the family's 1533-position model. The record is from RNAcentral. Lineage: Bacteria; Pseudomonadati; Pseudomonadota; Betaproteobacteria; Burkholderiales; Oxalobacteraceae.
ACGGGUGAGUAAUAUAUCGGAACAUACCCUAGAGUGGGGGAUAACGUAGCGAAAGUUACGCUAAUACCGCAUACGAUCUAAGGAUGAAAGCGGGGGAUCGCAAGACCUCGUGCUCAUGGAGUGGCCGAUAUCUGAUUAGCUAGUUGGUAGGGUAAAAGCCUACCAAGGCGACGAUCAGUAGCUGGUUUGAGAGAACGACCAGCCACACUGGAACUGAGACACGGUCCAGACUCCUACGGGAGGCAGCAGUGGGGAAUUUUGGACAAUGGGGGCAACCCUGAUCCAGCAAUGCCGCGUGAGUGAAGAAGGCCUUCGGGUUGUAAAGCUCUUUUGUCAGGGAAGAAACGGUGAGUUCUAAUACAACUUGCUAAUGACGGUACCUGAAGAAUAAGCACCGGCUAACUACGUGCCAGCAGCCGCGGUAAUACGUAGGGUGCAAGCGUUAAUCGGAAUUACUGGGCGUAAAGCGUGCGCAGGCGGUUUUAUAAGUCUGAUGUGAAAUCCCCGGGCUCAACCUGGGAACUGCAUUGGAGACUGUAAGGCUAGAGUGUGUCAGAGGGGGGUAGAAUUCCACGUGUAGCAGUGAAA